AGGACGAACGCUGGCGGCGUGCUUAACACAUGCAAGUCGAGCGGUAAGGCCCUUUCGGGGGUACACGAGCGGCGAACGGGUGAGUAACACGUGAGCAAUCUGCCCUUCACUUCGGGAUAAGCCUCGGAAACGGGGUCUAAUACCGGAUAUGACCAUGCCAUGCAUGUGGUGUGGUGGAAAGUUCUGGCGGUGAGGGAUGAGCUCGCGGCCUAUCAGUCUUGUGGUGGGUAAUGGCCUACAAGGCGUUCGACGGGUAGCCGGCUGGAGAGGGUGACCGGCCACACGUGGGACUGGACGACCGCGGCCCAGACCUCCGUACGGGAGGCAGCGAGGUGGGAAUAGUGGACAAGUGGGACGAAAGCC
This 363-nucleotide ribosomal RNA is filed under the name uncultured soil bacterium. RNAcentral's name for it is "bacterial SSU rRNA". It matches the Rfam family "Bacterial small subunit ribosomal RNA", at positions 26 to 383 of the family's 1533-position model. The record is from RNAcentral.